RNAcentral lists this ribosomal RNA (376 nucleotides) under uncultured bacterium. RNAcentral's name for it is "bacterial SSU rRNA". It matches the Rfam family "Bacterial small subunit ribosomal RNA", at positions 523 to 898 of the family's 1533-position model. The record is from RNAcentral.
AUACGUAGGGAGCGAGCGUUGUCCGGAUUUACUGGGUGUAAAGGGUGCGUAGGCGGCUCUGCAAGUCAGGUGUGAAAACCCUCGGCUUAACUGAUGGACUGCAUUUGAAACUGUGGGGCUUGAGUGGAGUAGAGGCAGACGGAAUUCCCGGUGUAGCGGUGAAAUGCGUAGAGAUCGGGAAGAACACCAGUGGCGAAGGCGGUCUGCUGGGCUCUAACUGACGCUGAGGCACGAAAGCAGGGGGAGCAAACAGGAUGAGAUACCCUGGUAGUCCAUGCCGUAAACGAGGAUUACUAGGUGUGGGGAGUCUGACCCUCUCCGUGCCGGAGUUAACACAAUAAGUAAUCCACCUGGGAAGUACGACCGCAAGGUUGAA